This 75-nucleotide transfer RNA is filed under the name Aigarchaeota archaeon. RNAcentral's name for it is "tRNA-Met". It matches the Rfam family "tRNA". Rfam says of the family: Transfer RNA (tRNA) molecules are approximately 80 nucleotides in length. The record is from RNAcentral. Lineage: Archaea; Thermoproteati; Nitrososphaerota.
AGCGGGGUAGGGUAGCCAGGUUAACCCGCUGGGCUCAUAACCCAGAGAUCGAUGGUUCAAGUCCAUCCCCCGCUA